RNAcentral lists this ribosomal RNA (254 nucleotides) under uncultured bacterium. Its description in RNAcentral is "partial 16S ribosomal RNA". It matches the Rfam family "Bacterial small subunit ribosomal RNA", at positions 524 to 776 of the family's 1533-position model. The record is from RNAcentral.
CACGUAGGCACCAAGCGUUGUCCGGAUUUAUUGGGCGUAAAGAGCUCGUAGGCGGUUCAGUAAGUCGGGUGUGAAAACUCUGGGCUCAACCCGGAGACGCCACCCGAUACUGCUGUGACUUGAGUUCGGUAGGGGAGUGGGGAAUUUCUAGUGUAGCGGUGAAAUGCGCAGAUAUUAGAAGGAACACCGGUGGCGAAGGCGCCACUCUGGGCCGAAACUGACGCUGAGGAGCGAAAGCGUGGGUAGCAAACAGG